Leopardus geoffroyi (Geoffroy's cat) is the source of this 3236-nucleotide long non-coding RNA. RefSeq lists it as uncharacterized. Lineage: Eukaryota; Metazoa; Chordata; Mammalia; Carnivora; Felidae. The transcript has 2 exons. The record is from RefSeq and is a predicted model, not a curated record.
UGUGUGGUAUGUGAAUUAGAUCGCAAUAAGGCUGUUACCGAAAAAAAAAAAAAGGAGGACACGAGUGGCAGCGGCUGUGCCCCUGGGGCCCCGGGGAAAGGCCUGCUGUGGAGUCGCGACUCCCACGGCCUCCUUCUCUUGUGCAAAUGGCAGCUCAGAGGAGGAGCUUUGGACUGGAGUCAGCAGCUUGCUGUGUGUGCUGGGGCGAACCUACGCCCUCUCUGAGCCUCCGUCUCUCCCCUGAGAUGUAAUGCAGGAGGCGGCCGCGGUGCACGGAGGAGCCAGGGAGCCCCACGGCAGGAUUGUGUGUGAGGUCCGUAGCCCGGACCCUGGCCGGACAGCGGCGGAGGUAGGACGUCCCCACGGCUUCCGGCUCUGAGGGAGGAGGCAACCCCCUCGUGCUCUGUCUUCUAACGUCCCGGAGCCCGAGGGUUUUGAAACUGCGGAGAAUGACAGCAAAUUACCAGCUAAAAGCCCUGGGUUGUUGGAGGUGGGAAAGACAAGCCCUGGGAGCAGCUCAAGCCCACGGACACUCCUCAAGCCUGGAACACGUACUCUUUCCCCACCCCUGCCCGUGCUCCAAGGGGAUCUCAUGCCAAUUAGAAAAAGACACCCCUUCCUCCAGGAAGAAGCAGCUUCAUGCCAGGGGCAGGGGUUCAGCCCCCACCCAUCCCUUAGCCAAGAGCACUUGAGCAGUGAACAACAUACACAACUAUACCGUGGUCUCAUGGCCGUGUACCUGUAAACCACCCCCCACCCCCCACCCACAACCGGAUGCCUGGUCUCACAGCAAGUGGCUGUGUCUUUCCUCCAUGGUGGUUUGUGCUGAGUCAAGUGGCCUGGCAGGAAACUUGCUUCCUGGAAUCUCCUCUCCUCUAGGAGUCUGAGUUAGAAUUCGCCGGUGGAGAAAUCUGUGCUUGGAGGGCCACCAUGGCUAGCGAUGGGAGGGACGGACACAGAAGUGCCAGCGGGGGCCAGCUUGUCCCCAUUCCUUCUUCUACAUGUCCUCCUCCUGACCCGCGGCCAGUGCUCCCUCCAGACUGCUGGCCCUGCUGACUCACAGUGACCCAGUAUUUCCACCGGAUGCUUGGCUGUGAUCUCACCGAGUGGAGGCUGCAAAGACAAGGCGGCCUUCCCUAGACUUCUGUAGGUGUCUACACUGGCCCCGGCCUCCCACGCCAGCUGCUGGACCCGCCUGACUUCCAGCUUGUCCACGAGCUCCGCUGGUGCCUCUGCUACAGAGGGCUGGCUGGUGACGGUCCCCGGGUCCCCGUAAAACUUCCCGCUUUGGACCUUUACUUCCCAGACCCUCCCCCGGGGCAGUAAGGCUAAUUGCUGUGCUAUAAAACUCACAGUGGCUCUGCGGCUGAUGGAGCCCGAAUGUGUGCACCGUUACCCGCAUCAGAGCAAGCAGGGGGCGCCCCAUGCCUGCCUCCCUCCUCUGCCCCCAGGCCACCUCCUGUCGGCUGUACCCCGUUACUGACCCUCGAAUCAGUGCCCUUCCCACUGAGGCGCCCCCCGCUCCAGGCAUCUCCCUUCUUACCGGCACCAUUUCACCAGACUCCUGGUUUUCUAGUUCUGGUCCAGCUCUGCGUCUGUGGCCAGCGACUGCUUCCUACUUCUCUCCGCCCCGAAUGUCUCUGCAGCUGUCAGUCGUACACAGGGACCACGGCCCUUACCUGGUGUCCCAGCCUCCCUGCAGCGUCUCCACUCACCACCUUCACAGACAAGUCCCGCCGUUUCCUUGUUCCUAUGUCAGCCACACCGAAUGCCCCCCUACCCCCCCACCCCCAGUGAUCUUUCUGGAAAAAUCGAGAGGCAAAGGCAGUGUCCCGCAGACAGGCUGUCUGAAUCCCCCCUCCCCACCCCGUGCCUGGCCUCCCUUCUCCGUCUGGAGAACUUCUACUCAUCCUUCAAAACCUCAGCUUCGGUGUCCCCUCUCCUCACUCGUUCCCAUGGCUGCGCCGUCCCUGGCAGGAGGGGCCGGCCCGGCUCCGUUCUCAUCUUCUUCCCCAUCGGCCCCAGAAGCAGCCUCAGCCGUGCCAACGAUGACCAUCCACUUUGGGUUUCGAGGUUUGGAAGAUGUGCUCAAUCCACGUUGCUUGGAGGGACUCAGGGACUCAGCGAGGGGAAUCCUGCAGGGCCCCCUUACCGGGGUGGAAGCCGAGACGAGGCCUGGAUCUGGAUCUCUGUGACCCGAGCUCGGGGCCCCGAGACGCCCAGAGCACGUGGCUGGGCUGAGCUCGGGGGGUGGUGCCCCCGGCGUCCGGCCCGCGGGGCUGGGGGGUUCGGGUCUGGCCUGUGGUGACUGGUUCUGCCCAGGCCGUGCCGGAAGAAGCAGAGCCGGAAGAGGAUCCUGUGUGCAUAGCGCUGCCCAGCACAGCCUCUGCAGCCGAGGCAGGGGACUGCUCGGCCCUCUCCUGGCUCCUCUACACCCUGGACCGUGUGCACUUGGCCGGUCACUUGCUGUGUCUCCACUUACUCCUCUGCACAGUGGGGCGAUAGCAGUCUGCUUCCAGAGGGUUACCCGAGUGUGACCCGAGUUACCGUAUGUGCUACGGCACCAGGGCUAUGGGAGUAAGGGCUCUAUGUUCUGCCUUCCUGGCCUCCUCCGUGCGUCAUUUUCUCCAGUGACCUGGGGCCUGUCCCCUCCCUCUGUGCCUUGAGUCACCAUGUCAGGUGGGGACCCUGGCCGCUGAGGGGGGGGGGGGGCCCGGGAGCCCAAAGCCCCGCUCCGACGAUGUCCCGGCAGAAGCAGAUUCCGGGCUGUCUGACGUUUGACUCGGGCUCUCGUGUGGGUUUUAUCAGAAUCAACAGGUUUUGUUGUGCAGUUCACAAUCUCAGCAUCUCUGAUUUAUCGCCCAACAAAUUGGAGAGGAUUUAGCGUGCAUUUAAUUAAUUUGACGAAAGUAGUUCAACAACUGUAAACCGGGCUGUGGAAACACGCUUGCCGGGAAGCGGGGGCCCGGCUCCUCGAGGGCUCAGGGCGGGCGCCGGUUUGAGGCUGAAACGUGGUCUCUGCAGGGCAGGGAGAGGGGGCCCAGGGGGGAGGCGGGGCCCGGAGCAGUGGGCCGGGGUGGGGGGAGGCGGGAGAGCUGGGCAGAGGCAGGAGGCCUGGGGACAGUGUGGUCACAGACCCCCUGGGAGCUGUGGUUCCUCGGGCCCUCGAAGGGAUGGUGACCUCUGCCCUCUUUCCCGCUCAGGGGACCCCGUGAGGGUUUCCAGGGGCAAUGGGU